This is a long non-coding RNA of Paramisgurnus dabryanus, 1581 nucleotides long. RefSeq lists it as uncharacterized. The record is from RefSeq and is a predicted model, not a curated record. NCBI's taxonomy places the organism in Eukaryota, Metazoa, Chordata, Actinopteri, Cypriniformes, Cobitidae.
UUUCAACACUAAAAUACUGUUUUCAUGUUAAACAGUUUAGUACUGUAGUUAGCAAUGCAUUGUGGGCUGCUUAAAUUGGAGCAACAAGACAGAGGCCCUCAACAGUAAGUUGAUGUUUUAAAUUACAGGACAAUACAGUAUUUUUUUGAAAAUGCGUGUUGACUGGGGAAUUUGGAGCAUGGUCAGAAGCUAAGCAAUGUCUUAUAAAUUGAGGCUAGCCUAUUGCUUUUGGUCAAUUUUCUUUAAAAAAAUACAGAAAUAAUUUGCCAUUAACUCCUGGAUGGAAUUUCGGAAACCAUUAUUUGGAUUGGAGAUUUUUCAGAAGAGGACGUACAAUUUAGAUGACGUGCUGCACAUUUUCAAGUGUUCUUCAUCAAAUUCAUUGGGUCUUGCAUCUACAAAUGAAACGGUAAUUCAAAUCUUAUUCAUAUUGCCAAGAAUGCUUGAUAUCAACUGAUAGAAGCUUGUCUUGCUAGGGAUUUAAACAUGUCAUUUAACAGUGAGGCUUAGAUUUGAAUAGCCAAAACAAUAUUACUUUUGAGUGGUAUUUUGUUUAAUUUUGGUAACGUUAGCCAUAGGCUACUUCUGAAUUUGAGAAACAACACUUAUUAAAGAAUUUAUUUCAAUCAAACCAUAGGAUUAUAUGAACAUCGACUAUCCGAGAUGGUUUUGGUAUCUGCCACUGCAGCUGACGUUGAGACAACUCUCAGUCUUCCUGCAAAUACUCGCCUGAUACCUGGCGCUUCAUUGAUAUAAAUCCAGAGAGAGGGACAAAUGCCAAAAUCAUCAGACAAGAUUGUCUCUUAGAUAUAAGGUGUGAUCGUCCAGAAGUCGUCUUCUGCAGUCAAAUACACACGUGGCCAUGCUACUGAAGGAUCUCCUUGACUUUUUAAUGGAACUUCAUAUAGAUCUUGACAGCACUGGAAUAAUGCUGCAGAGAGGAACAGCGGCUACUAAAGUGAUGAUCGUCUCUUCUGGAUCCACAAGAACUAAGAUGUAAAAACACAAGCCUACCUCACAGGACAAUUUUAAGAGGUAACCUGCAAGUCUAGCUUGCAGUGGCACAGGUGCCUACCCUACGGUUUCAUCCUAAAUGUUUUUUUAUGCAUAUUAUUGAUACAUCCUGACAAAAUGUUCUACUGUACUAUAAUAGUUUCAAAAUGGCCUUAGGUAUGUUUUCAAACUUAUGUCUUAAAUAAAAAAGUAAACUAUAGGUUAUGCCCUUCACAUUUGGUUAGGAUUAGGGGCAGUCUCUGACGAGCAAUUUAAGAACGUACGUUUAUUGCCAUAGUCUAAAGCAAAACACUACUGUUUCUGUUUACUACUUGAAAGCUCUUUUCAGCAUUGUCCAACAGGAUUUAUUUUCUUUCCUUUUUUUGUAUUCAUGUUGACAUAGACAUUGCUCUUUGAAAUAAAGGUGUUUGAUUUGGAAGUUUUUGUUGCUUAUUUUGCAUAAUAUUCACAAUAAUGCAUAUCUUAAGCAGUUGUCUUUAGCCCUGGAAAAUCAUUGGGCAAGUUCAUGGGAGACUGAUAUUUUAAAUAUCAAUGAAAAAUUUUUAGAGACUAAAUUUAUGUUAUUUA